CCAAGGCAGUUCACUGAAGUGUUACCAAACCAUAAUGCAUUAUGUACUGUAUAUGAGACCAAUGUACACUUUGUAUUUUUUAAGCAACCAUGAGGGAAAAAACAGAAAGUUUAAGAUUUUAAUUACUUCUGGAGCUAAAAGCACUCUCUCUCCUGCACUCACCAGCUUCUAAAUCACACGCCUCAAGCAAGUGUGCCGGCUGAAAAUCCCCUGUGUUCCUUGGAUCAAUAAUAAAAUAAUGAAAUAGACCAUAUAAAACAUCAUUGGGCUUCGCCACCCUUUUCAUCACAUUUGAAAUUCAAUAAAGAUAAAUUGUUUUUGGAACUUCUACAUUAAUAUGCAAUCGAGCAAAUUAGGGAUAAGAAUACAAUUUUGGGUUAUUUGCUAUUGUCAAUGGCAAAUCUAGUAUAAAUAUUAUUCUCUGGCUCGGAACAGCCUUAAAUUAACUGAAGAAUGCAUUCUUAUGGGAGGCAUAACAUGAUGACUGGAAUGAGGGAAAAUCAUACAAUACCUUUUAUACGCAUUUCACAAUAGCACAAAAACAUUCAUCAUUAAAACGAGAUGGCAGAGUGUAACACAGACAGAUAAACAGAUGCUUUCUCCCUCGAAUAAGAAAAACAUCUGUGGCCUUGUUACCCUCUACUUUAAGUCAUUUUUAUGCCGGUCAAGUGCUGUAAGUGCUCCCACAUCUGCUACAGUUUAUAUAAGAUGCAGAUGCAUCAUCUGCUGAGGGUGAGCCCCCCGUGGCUCAGUUAAGUCCUCUCAUCAUUGAUUCAUGCUCUCGGGGAAGUCUGACAAAUCUCAAACCUUGCUUCCGUAAGAGGACCUUAUGGAUGUGUCCAUGUGGGGAAGAGAGGUGUCCCGGGCUCACACAGCAGAAGUUUGUGGAAGAUUAAGUCUGUGCAUGAGGGCUCAGUCUUGCAUAGUGAUUGUGUCUGUGUAAAGAGACAAGAUCACACACGUGUUAGAACUUGCAUUAUGCAGUACAUUCCUUGGGGGAUUUCUUUUAACUUCUGUGUUUUUUUUGUUUGGUUGGUUUUUUUUGUUGUUUUUUUUUUUCCAUUUGUGCAAACCAAACAACAGAACUGAUUCCUGCGAAAGACAAACUCAGACACAUGUCCCACAAUACAGCGAGCCAAGAAAAAAAAGGAAAGAAAAUUGGAGAAGGCAAUUUAAAAAAGAGGUUUUGCUAGCAGUGCUCUCAAUCCUUCCUUCCAAACUUCCUCCUCAUUUGUAAUGAAAACAACAUUUCAUAACAAACAAAUGCAUUGGAGUGUGUUUCUUGGCCAUCCUUGGCCCACGGAAGUAUUUGGGGAGAAGAUGGAGUAAAAAAUCUCUACAGGCGAAAAGCCUCCAUUUCAAGCUACUUCCCCGAGGUCUCCUGAGUACAAAUCCUGAGCUGUAUACCAAGGCAUUGUGAAGGAGCGAAAUAUGUCAGAAGCUGGCGUUCAGCUGGAGCUCAAUUCAGAUUGACAGCGAGGAAGCCGCAGCUGAGGUUAUAGAGGUUAUCGAGAGGGUUCAGUUCCUGUGGAGAUGCUAACUGUUGAUGCGUAGCUGCAGUGGCAGCGCAGAGACCGGAUGGAUGAUGCAAGCAAAGCAAACCUCGGCUCAAGUUCGCUGGGAUGAAAAAAAGAAGUCGGCAUUUAGUAUGACAACUUACUCUGGAGAAAAAGCUGCCUUCCUCUCCGGCAGCGCUGGAUAUUUUUUGAGGGCUUCGGGUCCUGAUAAACUACAUGACUCGAUAGAACCCAUCCAUUGCCUCACAUGGCCUCUUGCAUUCAGUUGCAAGUUGUACUUUAACACGGUGCAAGGACAAAAGCCGACAGCCAGCUGACAGC
Molecule: long non-coding RNA, 1838 nt
Organism: Acanthopagrus latus (yellowfin seabream)
Lineage: Eukaryota; Metazoa; Chordata; Actinopteri; Spariformes; Sparidae
Exons: 4
Source: RefSeq, a predicted model, not a curated record